This 473-nucleotide ribosomal RNA is filed under the name uncultured bacterium. RNAcentral's name for it is "bacterial SSU rRNA". It matches the Rfam family "Bacterial small subunit ribosomal RNA", at positions 107 to 598 of the family's 1533-position model. The record is from RNAcentral.
UGAGUAACGCGUGAGCAACCUGCCUUUCAGUGGGGGACAACAGUUGGAAACGACUGCUAAUACCGCAUAACACAGCGAGAUCGCAUGGUCUUGCUGUCAAAGAUUUAUCGCUGAAAGAUGGGCUCGCGUAUGAUUAGAUAGUUGGUGAGGUAACGGCUCACCAAGUCAACGAUCAUUAGCCGGACUGAGAGGUCGAACGGCCACAUUGGGACUGAGAUACGGCCCAGACUCCUACGGGAGGCAGCAGUGAGGAAUAUUGGGCAAUGGGCGAAAGCCUGACCCAGCAACGCCGCGUGAAGGAUGAAGGUUUUCGGAUUGUAAACUUCUUUUGUCAAGGACGAUAAUGACGGUACUUGACGAAUAAGCCACGGCUAACUACGUGCCAGCAGCCGCGGUAAUACGUAGGUGGCAAGCGUUGUCCGGAUUUACUGGGUGUAAAGGGCGAGUAGGCGGGUCUACAAGUCAGAUGUGAA